RNAcentral lists this ribosomal RNA (433 nucleotides) under uncultured bacterium. RNAcentral's name for it is "partial 16S ribosomal RNA". It matches the Rfam family "Bacterial small subunit ribosomal RNA", at positions 29 to 507 of the family's 1533-position model. The record is from RNAcentral.
AACGAACGCUGGCGGCAUGCUUAACACAUGCAAGUCGAACGAGACCUCCGGGUCUAGUGGCGCACGGGUGCGUACCGCGUGGGAACCUGCCCUUAGGUUCCGUAUAACUCCCCGAAAGGGGUGCUAAUACCGGUUAAUUUCUUCGGACCAAAGAUUUCUCGCUUUUGGAUGGGGGCGCGUUGGUUUAGCUAGUUGGUAGGGUAAAAGCCUACCAAGGCGUCGAUGCUUAGCUGGUGUGAGAGGAUGAUCAGCCACACUGGGACUGAGACACGGCCCAGACUGCUACGGGAGGCAGCAGUGGGGAAUAUAAGGCGAUGAGCGAAAGCCUGAUCCAGCAAUGCCGCGUGAGUGGUGAAGGCCUUAGGGUUGUAAAGCUCUUUUACCCGGGAUGAUAGUGACGGUACCGGGAGAAUAAGCUCCGGCUAACUCCGUG